GAUGAACGCUGGCGGCGUGCUUAAUACAUGCAAGUCGAACGAAUGGGAUAUCUAGCUUGCUAGAUUGAAGUUAGUGGCGAACGGGUGAGUAAUACAUAGGCAAUCUGCCCUGAAGUGUGGGACAGCUAUUGGAAACGAUAAUUAAUACCGCAUAGGUAGUAAGAAGGCAUCUUCUUACUAUUAAAGAUGCGUUUGCAUCGCUGCAGGAUGAGCUUAUGGUGUAUUAGCUAGUUGGUGGGAUACAGCCCACCAAGGCUAUGAUACAUAGCUGGUCCUGAGAGGAUGAAC
This 288-nucleotide ribosomal RNA is filed under the name uncultured bacterium. RNAcentral describes it as "partial 16S ribosomal RNA". It matches the Rfam family "Bacterial small subunit ribosomal RNA", at positions 28 to 305 of the family's 1533-position model. The record is from RNAcentral.